Molecule: ribosomal RNA, 379 nt
Filed under: Typhlops pusillus (Hispaniola worm snake)
Lineage: Eukaryota; Metazoa; Chordata; Lepidosauria; Squamata; Typhlopidae
Description: partial 12S ribosomal RNA
Rfam family: Bacterial small subunit ribosomal RNA
Source: RNAcentral
UUGGCAGAAACAAGGCCAAUACGUACUCCAUGGCCCGCCAGAUUAUUACAAGCAAAAACUUAAAACUCAAAGGACUUGACGGUGUCCCACACACAACCUAGAGGAGCCUGUCCUGUAAUCGAUGAUCCACGAAGGACCUUACCACCUUUUGCCCAACAACCUAUAUACCGCCGUCGGAAGUUCACCUUAUGAGAGAAAAAAAGUGAACAAAAUAGUUCAACACUAGCACGUCAGGUCAAGGUGUAGUUAAUAGGGUGGCCAGAGAUGGGCUACAUUUCCUAUAAAGGAAAAACGAAUGGUCAAAUGAAAACUAACCAGAAGGAGGAUUUAGUAGUAAAACAGGAUCAUAAAGCCUGCUUGAACACACUGCCCUGGGACG